UGGAUACCGGACCCGACGUAGCACUUUCAGAGUUUUGGUACAAAUAGAUAGCCUUCCCGCCGUACGUGGCUGGCCUUGGCUCUAUAACCCGUUUUAUCAUUUCAUUUUAUCAUAAAAAUCACCGUGAUUCAUGUGUUUGUCCAUAAUUCACACCCCUCAGAGUAACGAGACUGCUGCACCAGCUACGAAGUCGAGUAACUCGUGCGUGCCUGAAGGUAGUGAUGAUAAAACGGCGGAAGCCCUUCGGAGGAAGAGCACCCUUCUGAACUCCA
This is a long non-coding RNA of Diprion similis, 272 nucleotides long. RefSeq lists it as uncharacterized. The record is from RefSeq and is a predicted model, not a curated record. Lineage: Eukaryota; Metazoa; Arthropoda; Insecta; Hymenoptera; Diprionidae. The transcript has 3 exons.